UUCAGGCUUAUUUGAUAUGGUUACAGUUUUUCUUUUUUCUUUUUUUCCUUUUUGUACCAGCAGUGUAUUGGAGAUCUCAGUGUGGGACGUCUUUGCUAAUACUUGGUAUUGUUUGACAUUUAAAUUGUAGCUAUUCAGAUGGGCAUGAAUUGGUUCUGAUUGCUGUUUUUAAGAUGUGGCCUGACUGUCAAGCCUUCAGAGAACAGGCAGCCUCUUCUGGGGGAAGCCUUCAACCCUGUGCAUCCCACAAUCUGGAGACACUGUUGGCUGACUGUGACUUACCACCAGACAAAUGCCCACCAGAGGACAGUCUCCUUGGCAUCUGUGUAACCUCAAAGCCCAGCACGGUGUCCAACACUCAGUGGUUUCUACAAUGCAUGUUUAACUGAGCAGAGCUGAACUAGUGCUCCCAGGGAACUGACUGAUGGAAGUCUGUCUUAAAAGCUGAGCUCUAUAAUUUUGCAGCUGUUUGCCCUUGGAGACGUCAUUUAACUUCUCUGUCUGGGACUCUGGCAAUAUAAGGAAAGUGCCAUAAUAUUAAUCUGAACAAGUGCCCAGGCAACUCUUAAGUUUAACAGCAGUAUCAUAUCGCCAUUUAGUGUGCACACUUCAUUCUCUUAUAUACCUGAGAGAGAUUAUUUUAAAAUCUCUCAUGUUAAUCAAACCACAUUUCCUGAUCUAGAUAAAAAAGGUUUCAGAGUUUAAUUACACAAAAAGUAGGUAAUGUUGCAUGAAGAUUUACAAAGAAGCCAAGAUUUUUUUUUUCUUUUUAAAGUAUGACUAGGUAAUAAUAGAUAUAAGCAUAUUUUUCUCAUUCCUAAUACAUGUUUUAUUUGGAUGGUGUGCUGUGAUAUUUGAGGAUUUGGGACACACUCUUUUAGUGUAGGUUGCAAGAAAACUGUGAAACACAGACGCCAACAGUAGGUGAAGUCAGAAGAUCUUCUGUGUUAAUUUCUGAAAUGUCUAGCAGUGGGCCAUUCUUUGACGGUAGCCUGAUAUCUGAUAAAGAUAACAUUCUGCCACUGGCCAUGUGAGGAGCAAUUCCCAGCCAGGGGAAGGACUCCAAGUCCCCAAAUCUUUCUUAAAAUUUUAGAUUGAGAAUUGACAGAAAACAUAUAAACUCAGAUAAAUAGGCAAAGGUAUUGAACAGACUAUUCAUAACUGUACUUAUGACCACAAUAAAAAUAGAAGCAAUAUAAAUUUGGGUAAAAUAAUUAGAUAUGUAUUUGGGGCCUAUGAAAUCACAAACUACAUCUAAAAUUUAAUUAGAAUGAUAGGUGAUUUUUGUUUUCUUAUUUGCAUUUGUCACAUUUUAAAAAAUACUGCAUAGGUAUUACUUUUAUAACCACCCAAUAGUAUUUGAGAAUAUGCUCUAAAACAAAUGAGCCCAGUUCAUUUUAUUCAUGUUCAGGAAGCUAAAGUCAGCCAGUGGAAACAGUGCAGUGAGGUGGCUGUGACUGGUUUUAUUUGUACUUGCCACUUACUCUGCAGAUACCAUGGAUUGGCAGGCAUAGCUCUUAUUUUAUCAGAUAGAAGAGAAAUGGGAAAUGACACAGAAUUCCCACACAUGGGAAGGGGGCAUUUUUUAAUUGAGCAGAUACUAUAUCCUGUAUGUUAUGCUCAGUACUUUACACCUAUAUCUCAUGCCAUCCUUAAAUGACACAGAGUGGGGCCUUCCAACUGGAAAGAAUGCUGCAGUACGAUGGCUGAUAAGCAGAAAACAACAUACAACAAAGCUUGGCAUUAAAAUUACUUUCAGAAGAUAUGGUAAAACUGCUUUUUUUGGGUCUUGGAUUGUUAGUAGAGCCUCAAAGUUUAAUAACCAAGACCCAGGUGCCUAAUUUGCCCCACUGGGUCCUGUCACUGACUCACUGGAUGACCUUAGUGAAAUCGUUUUCCAUCUGUGAGUGUGUUUCCUUGCUGUGAAGAUGAAACUAAAAAUAAAUACUGCCUUCAUCAUGGGUUAUGGUAAGGACUAGCUGAGUAAUGUUUACUAAGAAAUUGCAACUUUUUCAAGCAAAAGGGGGAGAACAAAAUGCCUGUUUCAUCAUAUAGGAAACCUGUUUGGGAGUUUUGUGACCCUAAAGUGAUAUAAAUAAAAUAGAGGACUUUUUUUCAACCUCCUUUGUUAGAGUAUGAGACAAAACUGGCUGAAUUCCGGUGUUCUUUGGUGCUGGCUAAGAACAGCUUGGUUGCCCAUGAGCAGCGUGGUCAGAGGCUGGUUCCUGGUGGCAGGGUGCAUUCUGGAGAAAGCAGUCUCCUCCAGCCUGAGCUGUGCUCCCCCACGGGACUGAGUCACUCAGGCCACCCAGUCUCUCUCUCCCAAAGCUUCCAAAGCUCACUCUCUUCCAGGUGCUAAGUCCACCAUCAAUUUUUCUUUGACUAGUCUAGUUUUGUAAGUGGCAGGUUUUCUGAUUUUAAACAGAAAAAUUCUGCCUCCCUUGCAUUAUUUUUUAAAUAUAAUUUUAUUCUUCUCUUUGAUGUGAGUGUCCAGUUCUCAUAGCUAAGAAGGUCCAGGAGUGCAACUCAGAAGUGUAGAAAGAAAAUGGGCUUCAAAGGUAAGGUUUUCCCUACUUGGUUUCCAACUGUCUUAUGAUGGCCUUGGACACUAACCUCUUUGAGCUUCAGUCUCCAAUGGGAAAUAUUAACCUUAUAGGGUUGUUGUAAGGAUCGGAGACCUUUUAUUUAUUUAUGUUUCAUGUCAUACAAAACACACAUUAUGGGCACGGGCACCAAGUUCCUUACCUCAUAAUAUGGUGGCAAAAAAAGAUAAGCCCUGCCCUGAUAGAACCCGUGUUGCAGGGGGAAGCUAAGUCCUAAGUAUGAAUCUACAAUUCAGGUUCUAACAGGUGAACAGUCUAUAGCACAGUGGGCCUCUCUGCGUUGGGUGCUGAUGAGCUCUUCAUUUACCCUCCAAACAUAGAACAAAAGAACACAUUGAGGGCUUACGUGGUCUCAUGUUGCUCCCAUUUUUCACUACUUGUUCAAACAACAGUGACAGAACACCUGGUUCCCAUGGGCAGGGAGUUCUGCUGGGCACUAGGAACACUGAGAUCAAAGGGACCCUGCGUUGUCCUGAAGGGGCUGACAGUCAGAGUAGGGGAGGCAGACACCUAAACGGGUGUUACACUUCAGAGCACUGAGCACCACAGGGCUCUUAGAGAAUGCUCCAAGCUGGGACUAGGAACUGAGUCCUGAGGAUCAAGGGACAUUUGUGAUGCAGGGUGGCAGUGAUAUGGUGGGGAAGAAGGUGGAGUUGGUGCUUCAGACAGAGAGGACAGAGGAAAAGGCUGUGGGGGGACACAGCAUUUUUGGUUUCUGGCAUGUCACAGAACAGUUCAAUUCAGUGUGAGGAGCUUGGAGGGAGCAGGGGACAGGCAGUUAAGAGGUGAGAAUAAAAACUGGAAGUGUGAAGGGGUUGGCCUGUGCGUGGUGCUGACCUUGGAAAAGGGAAGACAGGUGGAAGACUGGGAGUGAGAGGGGCUGGGGGCCUGGAGGAGGUGCCAGGACCAGAAACAGUCAGGGGUCAGUGUCCCAGGAAGGGUGGACAAGACUUAGUGAGUGGCUGGUGUGGGCAUUGCGGGGAGAAGGAGACGCUGAGGACAGGACCAAUGUCCCCUGCAGGGAGGAUGUGGUGACAUUAACUAGGGGAGGCUGACAGCGCCACCUUUGAUGCCAAAUCCCACCUCCAGCUCUUCCCUGUGGCUCUGGGAAAAUUGCUUAAUUAUCUGUGUCUCAGACUCUUCACCUAUAAAUGAGGAUGACAAUAACAGAACCUCAUAGAUUGGGGCUUUAUUGUGUAGAUUAAGUAAAAUGACCACAUGUAGAUAUCAGAACAGUGUCUGGCACAUCUGAAGUCCUCAGUAAGGACUGGUUGUUAUUCUCGGGGAACACGGGGAGACAGAGAAUCUUGGAGGAGAAAGAUUAGGGUGGUCCAGUUCUGAUUACAUGACAAAAAGCUGCCUCAAGACUCUGAGGCCAUUAUGGCCAUCUUUGUCAAAAGAAGGUGAACUGCCCCGUGGAGUGUUAGCUCGGAAGUCUCCAGCUGUGGAAACCCAGAGCAACUCUUGUGAGAUUUCCUAUCAACCAGAGGCAGGUGGAGCUGUGGACCCUACAUUUAUUUCAGGGCUGGGGCAAGAAAAAUGUG
Molecule: long non-coding RNA, 4147 nt
Filed under: Homo sapiens (human)
Lineage: Eukaryota; Metazoa; Chordata; Mammalia; Primates; Hominidae
Description: HSALNT0136995
Source: RNAcentral